CUACGGGGUGCAGCAGUGGGGAAUAUUGGACAAUGGGGGAAACCCUGAUCCAGCAAUGCCGCGUGUGUGAAGAAGGCCUGCGGGUUGUAAAGCACUUUCGGUUGGGAGGACUGCUUCUAGCACUAAUAUUGUUGGAAGUUGACGUUACCUUCAGAAGAAGCACCGGCUAACUCCGUGCCAGCAGCCGCGGUAAUACGGGGGGUGCAAGCGUUAAUCGGAAUUACUGGGCGUAAAGCGCGCGUAGGCGGCUAGAUCAGUCGGGUGUGAAAGCCCCGGGCUUAACCUGGGAACUGCAUCCGAUACUGUCUAGCUUGAGUACAGGAGAGGAGAGUGGAAUUCCACAUGUAGCGGUGAAAUGCGUAGAUAUGUGGAGGAACACCAAUGGCGAAGGCAGCUCUCUGGCCUGAUACUGACGCUGAGGUGCGAAAGCGUGGGGAGCAAACAGGAUUAGAUACCCCCGUAGUC
RNAcentral lists this ribosomal RNA (465 nucleotides) under uncultured bacterium. RNAcentral describes it as "partial 16S ribosomal RNA". It matches the Rfam family "Bacterial small subunit ribosomal RNA", at positions 339 to 795 of the family's 1533-position model. The record is from RNAcentral.